GAUGAACGCUAGCGAUAGGCUUAACACAUGCAAGUCGAGGGGCAGCAUGGUCUUAGCUUGCUAAGACUGAUGGCGACCGGCGCACGGGUGCGUAACGCGUAUGCAACUUGCCUCACAGAGGGGGAUAACCCGUCGAAGGACGGACUAAUACCGCGUACGCUCUAUUUUGGGCAUCCAAGGUAGAGGAACUGAAAUUCGCUGUGAGAUAGGCAUGCGUCCCAUUAGCUAGUUGGUGAGGUAACGGCUCACCAAGGCGACGAUGGGUAGGGGAACUGAGAGGUUGAACCCCCACACUGGUACUGAGACACGGACCACACGCCUACGGGAGGCAGCAGUGAGGAAUAUUGGUCAAUGGGCGAGAGCCUGAACCAGCCAAGUCGCGUGAAGGAUGACUGUCUUAUGGAUUGUAAACUUCUUUUGUAGGGGAAUAAAGAGGGGCACGUGUGCCCCAGUGAAUGUACCCUACGAAUAAGCAUCGGCUAACUCCGUG
RNAcentral lists this ribosomal RNA (490 nucleotides) under uncultured bacterium. Its description in RNAcentral is "partial 16S ribosomal RNA". It matches the Rfam family "Bacterial small subunit ribosomal RNA", at positions 28 to 507 of the family's 1533-position model. The record is from RNAcentral.